RNAcentral lists this ribosomal RNA (448 nucleotides) under uncultured bacterium. RNAcentral describes it as "bacterial SSU rRNA". It matches the Rfam family "Bacterial small subunit ribosomal RNA", at positions 330 to 793 of the family's 1533-position model. The record is from RNAcentral.
ACCAGACUCCUACGGGAGGCAGCAGUGGGGAAUAUUGGGCAAUGGGCGCAAGCCUGACCCAGCAACGCCGCGUGAAGGAAGAAGGCUUUCGGGUUGUAAACUUCUUUUAAGAGGGAAGAGCAGAAGACGGUACCUCUUGAAUAAGCCGCGGCUAACUACGUGCCAGCAGCCGCGGUAAUACGUAGGUGGCAAGCGUUGUCCGGAUUUACUGGGUGUAAAGGGCGUGUAGCCGGGCUGACAAGUCAGAUGUGAAAUUCCGGGGCUCAACCCCGGACCUGCUUUUGAAACUGUUGGUCUUGAGUAUCGGAGAGGCAGGCGGAAUUCCUAGUGUAGCGGUGAAAUGCGUAGAUAUUAGGAGGAACACCAGGGGCGAGGGCGGCUUACUGGACUGUAACUGACGUUGAGGCUCGAAAGCGUGGGGGGCAAACAGGAUUAGAUACCCGAGUAA